This 1408-nucleotide long non-coding RNA is filed under the name Nicotiana tabacum (common tobacco). Its description in RNAcentral is "long non-coding RNA (NTAB_LNC009536)". Lineage: Eukaryota; Viridiplantae; Streptophyta; Magnoliopsida; Solanales; Solanaceae. The record is from RNAcentral.
AUUGACAUGGGCAGCCCGGUACACUAAGCUCCGACUUUGCGUUGGGUCUGGGGAAGGGCCGGACCACAAGGGUCUUGUACGCAGCCUUUCAAUAACCUCAACAAUGACCAACAACACAAGUCAAUAUCUUUCAACCCAAGAAGCCAUGUACACAGUAUAUGUAUUACAUCAUAAACCAAAUGUAAUAGCAGACAAAAUGGGACAAGACCUUCAAAUCUAAACAGUUAUAACAAACAUGCCAACUGGCUCCAAGAAAAACUUGAAGUAUCAUCACUUGCUUAUGCAUUAUCAUCCGGUGUCUUCGGUUCCUCUCUUGGUUUCAAAGACGCCGAAGGCGAUGGAGCACCAUCUUGACCCAUUUCAGCUCUCAAAUCGUUGAUGCUUUGUUCAAGUUCAUCGAUUCGGUUUCCCAUCUCGUCAAGUGCAACCUUGUCAAGGACUAAACAUACUUUUUUCAAGCUUGAUCUCAUAAACAGAGGUAGAUGCCAUGUAUAACAUAAAGACAUAUUUGGAAUAGUUUGAUAUGAAAACCAUCCAAUAUGAGAACUCUUACCAGUAUGAAAGAGGACAGAAAGCAAGAGCGCCAGACAAUAGCUAAAAAGUUGAUGACAGUAAUGAAACCCCUUUUAAAAUUUUCUAAGAGACUAAAGAAGUUUAGAUUAUGUUGACGGAUUACCACAACCCCUACAAUCCUAAAAAGUUGAAAGACAGCAGAGCUGGAAAACCAUGAGCCACUCAAGAGCCUCAGAACCAAGAAGGCGGUUAACACCUUCUUGAAUUCAGAGUUCUACAAAGUGCUACAUAUAACUAAAUGCAUUUUAGAUGACAUUAAUGUAAGCAACAACUGGAUCAGAUAGGGAACAUCAAAUUUAAAAAGGAUAUUUUUCGAGAUGAUUGAUUCAGACAUUGUCUGAAAUCUGGUUUGCUGCAAUGAGAAAAAUAUCAGUUAGAUAACUCUAGUUGAUACAUAUGAAGAAUCCAAGGGGUUGCAGAGUGACCGUACUCACCAUUUGCUGAAGAAGAUUCUGGACCUGGAAGAGAAGGAAGGACAGAAGUAAGAGUUAGCUAGCAUAAAUGCAUGUUCUCAUUUCUGUCAAAUGAUGUGCUAGUUAAAGCUGUCAGAGACCAAAAAAAAGGGACAGCAACACCAAAUAUGUUAUAUGUCAAGUGCACGGAAAUUGAUCCAAAUGUCAUGGUAUUAGCAUCAUGAUAAAGCCAUAUUUAUGAAUAAAGUUAGCUCUUUAAAGGGCCAAGAUUGUAUGUUAGAAUUUUAAUUUGAUGAUGAAAAAGAAAGUAAUUUUUUAUUCCAAAUUCCCAAGUAAUCACGCUUGAUAACUCAGUGGUGAACAGAUUGAGAUGAUUAGAAACUUUAGAGAUCGUUAGCAAGAGGAGGAGAAUGAGCUUAAGC